AGCAAGGAGGCAAAGGUGAAUUCCACUGACAAUAAUCCAAAUAAGAAGGAUGAGGAGGGCUCCAUCAAAAGACAAGAUGGGCAAGAAAUGGGACACUUAUGGAGAGAGCAGGAUAUUUUGUCAGCAGAGACUAGAUAUACUUGUUUGCAGUAUUUUUUUUGAAUGUUUGAAAUUUUGUUAGGUGAGAAGGAGCGAGUUUUAAUUUUAUUUCACAGACAGAGCUUUAGCCUGGCUAUCUAUUUAUAUGCACAGAUGUGGGAGUUGCAUUCAGUGCUGGUUUAUGACCAUGACUGGGGUUUUCUGGAAGACUUUCAGACUUCUGCUUGUUUCUUAUUUGUCCCUGAAAACUGAAGAGGUGAACUACUUUGAGCAUGUGAUCCACACAUUGCCUGGUGAUCAUGGGACUAAGACCGACUCUCAUCCUGCCUCUGGGCCUGAUCCUGACCUACACUGUCUGCUCAGCAUCUUGCCCUCAGCUCGGUGAGGUCCCUGAGCCCUCCUGCCCUGCUGUCACUUGGCUCCUGCUCACCUUCCCUUAUUGCGGCAGCCAGCCAUUGAUGCUCCCUGGCACAAACACAACUGUAAGAAAAAAAGUUUCCAUUCUAACUUGUAAAAGCAUUAGUUGUAAUGUUUAAAUUUACUUCUUACAUGCCAGUAUGAUUUUGGGGAUUUCAAUGGAGGUAAUGAAGUGAACAUGGUAGCGAACAGCUUCCCUCUAUAGAGUAAGACUAUUCAUCUGAAUAUUUUGGUUUUGACUCUAUUCAUCUCAUUCUUUCUCAAAACAUUUUCAGUAUCUUGUCAAUGCCUCAAUUCAGAUUGUUAUGUUAAAUUAACAUUGUUGUGUUUAUGGACACAAUUACGAAAUGCACAGCAUUUAAAAUAGUGCUAACAUUUUCCCAGCAAUGAAAAUAUUUUAUAUGAGCAGUGCUUUUUUCAUUUUCUCUUUUAAUUAAGCAGAUUUUUUUCUACUAGUCCUCUCCCACAGUAAUAUAAAUUUUUCUUUUUUUUUCUUUUUUUUUUUUUUUUUUAAAAAUGUUGGUGUUUUUUGAAAGAUUCUACUCUCCUGAGAGUUGCAAAACAUUUAUUUAAAAUGAAAAUAAAAAUUGAUCUGUAAUCCUGACA
RNAcentral lists this long non-coding RNA (1122 nucleotides) under Anas platyrhynchos platyrhynchos (common mallard). RNAcentral describes it as "lncRNA (ENSAPLG00000016468.1)". The record is from RNAcentral. Lineage: Eukaryota; Metazoa; Chordata; Aves; Anseriformes; Anatidae.